This 301-nucleotide ribosomal RNA is filed under the name uncultured bacterium. RNAcentral describes it as "partial 16S ribosomal RNA". It matches the Rfam family "Bacterial small subunit ribosomal RNA", at positions 509 to 807 of the family's 1533-position model. The record is from RNAcentral.
CAGUCGCCGCGGUAAGACAGAGGAUGCAAGCGUUAUCCGGAAUGAUUGGGCGUAAAGCGUCUGUAGGUGGCUCUUCAAGUCCGCCGUCAAAUCCCAGGGCUCGACCCUGGACAGGCGGUGGAAACUACCAAGCUAGAGUACGGUCGGGGCAGAGGGAAUUUCCGGUGGAGCGGUGAAAUGCGUUGAGAUCGAAAAGAACACCAACGACGAAAGCACUCUGCUGGGUCGACACUGACACUGAGAGACGAAAGCUAGGGGAGCAAAUGGGAUUAGAUACCCGCGUAGUCCCUGUCUCUUAUAC